Myzus persicae (green peach aphid) is the source of this 820-nucleotide long non-coding RNA. RefSeq lists it as uncharacterized. NCBI's taxonomy places the organism in Eukaryota, Metazoa, Arthropoda, Insecta, Hemiptera, Aphididae. The record is from RefSeq and is a predicted model, not a curated record. The transcript is spliced from 3 exons.
UUAUUAUCUGUGUCGCGUGGUCAGUGUUGCCAGAUUUUGAAACUGUAACGUUCGUACAGUCUUAUCAAAAAAGUUCAUUUUUCUCGUUCAAACAUACUAUAAUAUAUGUGAAAAUUUGGUUGACAGCUUCAGUGGUUUUAUUUCGCACAAAAAAGUUUUUGAUAAUAUUAUGUUGUACGUUUGUGAGACGGAGACCGGGAGACAGCACAUGCGGGUGUAGCAUCCUCUUAAACCCAUGAUUAUAGACCUAUAGUGCACAGCGCUUAGAGAAAGAAACCAUUGGUGGAGGCAAAUACUGGGAGUUGGGACUGGGAAGAAACUGGUAAGGCUCAGGCUGGUUACCUACUCCGAAUGUUAAAAACGCAUUUAACACAGCUUCAUAGCCGAAAAUCAUUGAGUCCUCGGUGAGGAAAAGCUUACCAGAAUAUCUGAAGUAAAGAUAUUAAAAUUAUACUUACACAACCGAAAACUAAGGCUGGAGAAGAAGACAUCAAAUACGACAAGUGUCACAUCAUGCGGAGUAUCGCAGGGAUCGGCCCUAGGACUGGACUCGUGGAACUUUUUGUACGAUAGCCUAUUGAGGAUGAAAUUGCCAUUAUGUGUUCCAGUGGCGAGCACAUGUGGUGGGGGUUUGGGUGUUCAACCCUGCCACCAUGGUAUUUUUUUCACUCUAUGUACGUAAUUACUUAAAAAUAUGACCCACCCCACAUUUUUUUUAAAAAUUAUAGUCGGUUAAAUCAUAACAUCUAAUCGACGUACAAUUUGUCGAAUUAAAAUUAAUUUCAAUUUCAGAACAAUUAAUAGGCAUUUUUCGAAUAAU